This 1162-nucleotide long non-coding RNA is filed under the name Olea europaea (common olive). RNAcentral's name for it is "long non-coding RNA (OEUR_LNC009709)". Lineage: Eukaryota; Viridiplantae; Streptophyta; Magnoliopsida; Lamiales; Oleaceae. The record is from RNAcentral.
CAUACCAUCCUAACCAAGAUAAACUUUGUCGAUUCAAUCUUUAAAAUUAGAGGCAAGACAACUAUGUAUACAUACAUACAAUUAUAUAGCAUCAUAUUGGUACCAAUUCCAACUAGAAAUUGAGAAAUUAGUCUCGUGUGGGUUAUUUGAAAUUAAAAAGUUGAAAGGGAUUGUAGAAGGAUGUUGAAGGCAGAACGAGCACUACCGUCGCUUUGUAUACUGCGACCACAUAACAAUCAAUUGUAACUGUAGAGAACAUGAUGAAGCUCAAUAUCCAUUCAAAGAAGGAUGAUGGGAGAUUUAGAUAAAAAAAAAUAUAUCACAAGGUAGAGGAUGCCAUAGGUCAAGGAAGCUCGAUUUUUGGUGUCGACACUAGCAAGGAAAAGGAGAAAAGGGAUGACUUGGGUGUUAUCUUCAUUGGGUUAUCUUCAUUGUAUGUUAACCGUGACCCCUUUGUGUUCAAGUUUGUGUUAAUUUUAAUCGAUUGUGACUAAAUUUGUCAUCAUUGUGAUUGUAUGUGAUCAGGUCUGUUUUAAUUGUGACUAUAUGUGACCAAAGAUUGAUUGGUAACAGACAAUCACAAUGAAGACAAAUUUGGACACAAUUGAUCACAUAUGGUCACAUUUAAGAAAGACCCGAUCACAUCCGCUUUGAUAAUAGAGGCACUGGCAAGCACAGGUGCCCACCUAGCAUCCGGCCUCUGGAUGUGAACCAAACUGACUACUUCAAAAGAGAUGGGGUAUUUUGUGAAUUAUGUUUAAUAAUAUGACUGCUAUAAGAAUUUGGGAGAGAGGUGAAAAUUAGUGGCGGAGGAGGAGAUCGGAGCAUCUGAAGAAGGCAACUGUGGUGGUCGUGACAGACGGAGAAAUGGAAGAAUAGGGUGGCUUCAGUGAUGGCAUAAUCGGAAAUGCAAGAGAAAUUGAUAGGUUUGUGAUUGAUACAGGAAAAAUGCUAAACGAUUCGUAACGGUGACCCCACGGAUGAUUGCACACUCACAAUCGAGACGUGGGUCUCAAGUGAGUAAAAAAAUAUUUUCCCCUUUGUGUGUGUGUAUUAUGUCAACCGUGCGGUUCAUCUUGCAUGGUAGUUGAUACAGGGACGUAAUUUGGGAGGAGAGAGAGAGGUAUAAUAUAUUUUGUUAUUAUAAUUUAACAUUGAUCUG